RNAcentral lists this ribosomal RNA (160 nucleotides) under Helotiaceae sp. RNAcentral describes it as "partial large subunit ribosomal RNA". It matches the Rfam family "Eukaryotic large subunit ribosomal RNA", at positions 107 to 261 of the family's 3401-position model. The record is from RNAcentral. Lineage: Eukaryota; Fungi; Ascomycota; Leotiomycetes; Helotiales; Helotiaceae.
GCUCAAAUUUGAAAUCUGACUUCUUUUUGAGGUCCGAAUUGUAAUUUGUAGAAGAUGCUUCGGGUGUGGUACCGGUCUAAGUUCCUUGGAACAGGACGUCAUAGAGGGUGAGAAUCCCGUACGUGGCUGGCCACCUUCGCCCGUGUGAAGCUCUUUCGAC